Molecule: unclassified non-coding RNA, 148 nt
Organism: Pongo abelii (Sumatran orangutan)
Lineage: Eukaryota; Metazoa; Chordata; Mammalia; Primates; Hominidae
Rfam family: Metazoan signal recognition particle RNA
About the family: The signal recognition particle (SRP) is a universally conserved ribonucleoprotein. It is involved in the co-translational targeting of proteins to membranes. The eukaryotic SRP consists of a 300-nucleotide 7S RNA and six proteins: SRPs 72, 68, 54, 19, 14, and 9.
Source: Ensembl
GCCAGGUGUGGUGGUGCAUGCCUGUAGUCCCAGCUACUUGGGAGGCUGAGGCAGGAGAAUGGCUUGAACCCAGGAGGCAGGGGUUGCAGUGAGUCGAGCUUGCACCACUGCACUCCAGCCUGGGCAACAGAGUGAGACUCUGUCUCAA